This is a ribosomal RNA of 801 nucleotides. It matches the Rfam family "Bacterial small subunit ribosomal RNA", at positions 1 to 783 of the family's 1533-position model.
UUUUAUGGAGAGUUUGAUCCUGGCUCAGGAUGAACGCUGGCGGCGUGCCUAAUACAUGCAAGUCGAGCGAACGGACGAGAAGCUUGCUUCUCUGAUGUUAGCGGCGGACGGGUGAGUAACACGUGGAUAACCUACCUAUAAGACUGGGAUAACUUCGGGAAACCGGAGCUAAUACCGGAUAAUAUUUUGAACCGCAUGGUUCAAAAGUGAAAGACGGUCUUGCUGUCACUUAUAGAUGGAUCCGCGCUGCAUUAGCUAGUUGGUAAGGUAACGGCUUACCAAGGCAACGAUGCAUAGCCGACCUGAGAGGGUGAUCGGCCACACUGGAACUGAGACACGGUCCAGACUCCUACGGGAGGCAGCAGUAGGGAAUCUUCCGCAAUGGGCGAAAGCCUGACGGAGCAACGCCGCGUGAGUGAUGAAGGUCUUCGGAUCGUAAAACUCUGUUAUUAGGGAAGAACAUAUGUGUAAGUAACUGUGCACAUCUUGACGGUACCUAAUCAGAAAGCCACGGCUAACUACGUGCCAGCAGCCGCGGUAAUACGUAGGUGGCAAGCGUUAUCCGGAAUUAUUGGGCGUAAAGCGCGCGUAGGCGGUUUUUUAAGUCUGAUGUGAAAGCCCACGGCUCAACCGUGGAGGGUCAUUGGAAACUGGAAAACUUGAGUGCAGAAGAGGAAAGUGGAAUUCCAUGUGUAGCGGUGAAAUGCGCAGAGAUAUGGAGGAACACCAGUGGCGAAGGCGACUUUCUGGUCUGUAACUGACGCUGAUGUGCGAAAGCGUGGGGAUCAAACAGGAUUAGAU